AAAAAACAAAAAAAAAAGCUAUUUGUUCACUAUCACUCUUGUCGUUUCACAUUUUUCACUUUAAUACCCUAAAUAAAAAUAAAAUAAAUUUCAAAUAUCACUUCUUUAGUUUUGUAUUUUUCACUUUAGUAUCAUGCAGUAUAAAAUCUCAUAUAUAAAAAAUCUCAGAUACUUUAUUUUAUUGAAUAUUUAGUACUAUAUGAUUUUAACUUUAUCAUUGAUAUAAUGCAAAAAAUUAAUAGAGGGGAUAAUGAAAAGAGAAAAAUAAAAUCAUAGAAUACUAAAGUGAUUAAAUAAAUCACAUGAUACUAAAGUGAAGAAGCGCGAAAUUACAGUGAUGGUUUUUGUAGUUUACCCUAAAAAGAAAAAAGUGGUGAGAGAGAAAAAAGAGGGAGAGUUUCUGCCUGUGUAAAGAUGACAAUAAUAGGAUAAUUUAAUUGAUCGGAAACGUAGAGAGACACUACAAAAAAAACGGUCUAUAACAACACUUUUAAAUAUAGAUCCAUGUCAAAAAAGUACUACUAGCUAAAAUUACCGACACUUCUAAAAAGUGUUGCUAUAUGUGGGGUCGCUAGGUAUAUAGUGACAGUUAAAAAGUGUCGCUAUAAUCUAAAAAAGUGCUGCUAAUUUACCAACAUUUAUUUAAGUAUUUAGCAAUCGCCGAAACUCUAUCUCGUUGGCUGCGGUGGUGGAGAAGGACGACAGUAAAUGCUCUUCGUCUAGAAUUUCAGUGGAUUGAGUAAAGAGAGAAGAAAAGAUGGUAAUUGAUUUUUCUUUUUUUUUUCUUUUCUGUUUGUAAUCGGGCCAAAUAGACUGGGUGUGUGGGUUGAGUAGAGUAAUCUUUUAUUUUUGGUUGGAUUGUGCUUUAUAUUUAGGCAUUAAUAGAUGUUUUAAGUUUUAGCAUAAAUGGAAUACUUACUUAAAAGUGUUCCAAAUAUAUGUCUUUAUAACCUAAUUCUGUUGUAGUGAGAGAAUAAGGUGUUACUGACAUAUUUUAAAGAAUUUUUUUUUUGUUUUU
RNAcentral lists this long non-coding RNA (1018 nucleotides) under Ananas comosus (pineapple). Its description in RNAcentral is "long non-coding RNA (ACOM_LNC021805)". Lineage: Eukaryota; Viridiplantae; Streptophyta; Magnoliopsida; Poales; Bromeliaceae. The record is from RNAcentral.